UAGAGUUUGAUCCUGGCUCAGGAUGAACGCUAGCGGCAGGCUUAAUACAUGCAAGUCGAGGGGCAGCAGGACUGUAGCAAUACAGUUGCUGGCGACCGGCAAACGGGUGCGGAACACGUACGCAACUUACCCAAAACUGGGGAAUAGCCCGGGGAAACCCGGAUUAAUACCUCGUAACAUAAUGAAGUGGCAUCACUUUAUUAUUAUAGCUCCGGCGGUUUUGGAUGGGCGUGCGCCUGAUUAGGUAGUUGGCGGGGUAACGGCCCACCAAGCCUACGAUCAGUAACUGGUGUGAGAGCACGACCAGUCACACGGGCACUGAGACACGGGCCCGACUCCUACGGGAGGCAGCAGUAAGGAAUAUUGGUCAAUGGACGCAAGUCUGAACCAGCCAUGCCGCGUGAAGGAUGAAGGUCCUCUGGAUUGUAAACUUCUUUUAUAUGGGAAGAAAUCCACUUUUUCUUGAGUGGUUGACGGUACCAUAGGAAUAAGCACCGGCUAACUCCGUGCCAGCAGCCGCGGUAAUACGGAGGGUGCAAGCGUUAUCCGGAUUCACUGGGUUUAAAGGGUGCGUAGGAGGGCAGGUAAGUCAGUGGUGAAAUCUCCAAGCUUAACUUGGAAACUGCCGUUGAUACUAUCUGUCUUGAAUACCGUGGAGGUGAGCGGAAUAUGUCAUGU
Molecule: ribosomal RNA, 678 nt
Filed under: bacterium enrichment culture clone SC-2_40
Lineage: Bacteria
Description: bacterial SSU rRNA
Rfam family: Bacterial small subunit ribosomal RNA
Source: RNAcentral